RNAcentral lists this ribosomal RNA (486 nucleotides) under Xenogryllus sp. NV-2017. RNAcentral's name for it is "partial 16S ribosomal RNA". It matches the Rfam family "Bacterial large subunit ribosomal RNA", at positions 1832 to 2582 of the family's 2925-position model. Lineage: Eukaryota; Metazoa; Arthropoda; Insecta; Orthoptera; Gryllidae. The record is from RNAcentral.
UCUUUUUGUAUUGAUAUAAAGUCGGGCCUGCCCACUGAAGUGUUAAAGGGCCGCGGUAUUUUGACCGUGCAAAGGUAGCAUAAUCAUUAGUCUUUUAAUUGGAGGCUGGAAUGAAUGGUUUGAUGAAAUAAUAACUGUCUCUUUAUUAUUGAUUUGAAUUUUACUUUUGAGUUAAAAGGCUCAAAUGUUAUUAAGGGACGAGAAGACCCUAUAGAUCUUGAUAAUAAAUUUAUUUGAUUAUAUUUGGUUGUAUGAUUGUUUUAUAAGUGUAAUUAUUUUAUUGGGGUGAUAUGAGAAUAGUAUAACUUCUUAUAAGUUAACUUUGAUUAAUGGGUAAAUGAUCCUUUAAUAUGGAAUUAAGAUUAAGAUACCUUAGGGAUAACAGCGUAAUUUUAUUGAAGAGUUCUUAUCGAUAAUGAAGAUUGCGACCUCGAUGUUGGAUUAAGAAUAUAUUUUGGUGUAGUUGCUAAUAAUAUUGGUCUGUUC